Molecule: long non-coding RNA, 546 nt
Organism: Peromyscus californicus insignis
Lineage: Eukaryota; Metazoa; Chordata; Mammalia; Rodentia; Cricetidae
Exons: 2
Source: RefSeq, a predicted model, not a curated record
AAAGUGAACCCCAAAGAGCCCAGCUCGCGACGAUGACAGGCCAUUUCCACUUCUUAGGUUAACAUUUCAUCUCAGAGGCCUCUCUUCUCUCUCUGGCAGUUGCAAGGCUUCCUCUUUGCCUCAGCUGCACUUACUGUGUGAAGGUACGCCAUUGACUACAGUGAAGAGAGCUUGAAAAUGCCAACUUGAAGCUGGCACACGGGUUUUACAUUUUUGUUGAAGCUGACGCCCCUGUGAGACUUCUACUACCUUCGGCAGCAGCUUGUUCUUUCACAGAUUUCCUUCUGAGACACUUCAGGUGGAGCCAAUACUCCUCUAUCUUCUCCCUUUGGAAGCUACAUCUGAGGACCUGAGAAGAGGCCCCUGGACACAGUGUUGGGAAACCAGCUCAUUCCCUUCCCCACUUCUCAUCCCAGUUUCUGCCAUAGUUCAUUAAAAAUCCUCCAGACUAGUACCCCUAUGCUCUGUAUCCUGGACACUGACCUGCUAUACAGGAGUUCUGCCCCCACUCUCUUGAACCUAUAAUAAAAUCCUUUCUAAAACUCA